ACAUGGGUUAGUCGAUCCUAAGA
Molecule: small nuclear RNA, 23 nt
Filed under: Arabidopsis thaliana (thale cress)
Lineage: Eukaryota; Viridiplantae; Streptophyta; Magnoliopsida; Brassicales; Brassicaceae
Description: snRNA_06679
Source: RNAcentral